RNAcentral lists this ribosomal RNA (442 nucleotides) under uncultured bacterium. Its description in RNAcentral is "bacterial SSU rRNA". It matches the Rfam family "Bacterial small subunit ribosomal RNA", at positions 338 to 795 of the family's 1533-position model. The record is from RNAcentral.
CCUACGGGGUGCAGCAGUGGGGAAUUUUCCGCAAUGGGCGAAAGCCUGACGGAGCAAUGCCGCGUGGAGGUAGAAGGCCCACGGGUCGUGAACUUCUUUUCCCGGAGAAGAAGCAAUGACGGUAUCUGGGGAAUAAGCCCCGGCUAACUUCGUGCCAGCAGCCGCGGUAAUACGAAGGGGGCUAGCGUUGUUCGGAAUUACUGGGCGUAAAGCGCGCGUAGGCGGAUAGAUAAGUCAGAGGUGAAAUCCCGGGGCUCAACCCCGGAGUUGCCUUUGAUACUGUUUAUCUUGGGUGCAGAAGAGGUAAGUGGAAUUCCGAGUGUAGAGGUGAAAUUCGUAGAUAUUCGGAGGAACACCAGUGGCGAAGGCGGCUUACUGGUCUGCAACUGACGCUGAGGCGCGAAAGCGUGGGGAGCAAACAGGAUUAGAUACCCCUGUAGUC